Molecule: ribosomal RNA, 900 nt
Filed under: Staphylococcus aureus
Lineage: Bacteria; Bacillati; Bacillota; Bacilli; Caryophanales; Staphylococcaceae
Description: bacterial SSU rRNA
Rfam family: Bacterial small subunit ribosomal RNA
Source: RNAcentral
CUAUAAGACUGGGAUAACUUCGGGAAACCGGAGCUAAUACCGGAUAAUAUUUUGAACCGCAGGGUUCAAAAGUGAAAGACGGUCUUGCUGUCACUUAUAGAUAGAUCCUCGCUGCAGUAGCUAGUUGGUAAGGUAACGGCUUACCAAGGCAACGAUGCAAAGCCGACCUGAGAGGGUGAUCGGCCACACUGGAACUGAGACACGGUCCAGACUCCUACGGGAGGCAGCAGUAGGGAAUCUUCCGCAAUGGGCGAAAGCCUGACGGAGCAACGCCACGUGAGUGAUGAAGGUCUUCGGAUCGUAAAACUCUAUUAUUAGGGAAGAACAUAUGUGUAAGUAACUGUGCACAUCUCGACGGUACCUAAUCAGAAAGCCACGGCUAACUACGUGCCAGCAGCCACGGUAAUACGUAGGUGGCAAGCGUUAUCCGGAAUUAUUGGGCGUAAAGCGCGCGUAGGCGGUUUUUUAAGUCUGAUGUGAAAGCCCACGGCUCAACCGUGGAGGGUCAUUGGAAACUGGAAAACUUGAGUGCAGAAGAUGAAAGUGGAAUUCCAUGUGUAGCGGUGAAAUGCGCAGAGAUAUGGAGGAACACCAGUGGCGAAGGCGACUUUCUGGUCUGUAACUGACGCUGAUGUGCGAAAGCGUGGGGAUCAAACAGGAUUAGAUACCCUGGUAGUCCACGCCGUAAACGAUGAGUGCUAAGUGUUAGGGGGUUUCCGCCCCCUAAUGCUGCAGCUAACGCAUUAGGCACUCCGCCUGGGGAGUACGACCGCCAGGUUGAAACUCAGAGGAAUUGACGGGGACCCGCACAAGCGGUGGAACAUGUGGUUUAAUUCAAAACAACGCCUAGAACCUUACCAAAUCUUGACAUCCUUUGACAACUCUAGAGAUAGAGCCAUC